Molecule: ribosomal RNA, 832 nt
Filed under: marine metagenome
Description: bacterial SSU rRNA
Rfam family: Bacterial small subunit ribosomal RNA
Source: RNAcentral
AGAGGUGAAAUUCGUAGAUAUUAGAAAGAAUACCAAUUGCGAAGGCAGCUUUCUGGAUCAUUACUGACACUGAGGAACGAAAGCAUGGGUAGCGAAGAGGAUUAGAUACCCUCGUAGUCCAUGCCGUAAACGAUGUGUGUUAGACGUUGGAAAUUUAUUUUCAGUGUCGCAGGGAAACCGAUAAACACACCGCCUGGGGAGUACGACCGCAAGGUUAAAACUCAAAUGAAUUGACGGGGACCCGCACAAGUAGUGGAGCAUGUGGUUUAAUUCGAAGAUACGCGCAGAACCUUACCAACACUUGACAUGUUCGUCGCGACUCUAAGAGAUUAGAGUUUUCGGUUCGGCCGGACGAAACACAGGUGCUGCAUGGCUGUCGUCAGCUCGUGUCGUGAGAUGUUGGGUUAAGUCCCGCAACGAGCGCAACCCUCACUUUUAGUUGCCAUCAUUAAGUUGGGCACUCUGAAAGAACUGCCAGUGAUAAGCUGGAGGAAGGUGGGGAUGACGUCAAGUCCUCAUGGCCCUUACGUGUUGGGCUACACACGUGCUACAAUGGUAUCUACAACAGGAAGCAAGACUGCGAAGUUAAGCAAAUCCCUAAAAGAUACCUCAGUUCGGAUUGCACUCUGCAACUCGAGUGCAUGAAGCUGGAAUUACUAGUAAUCGUGGAUCAGCGUGCCACGGUGAAUGCGUUCCCGGGUCUUGUACACACCGCCCGUCACACCAUGGGAGUUGGUUCUACCUUAAGGCAAGGUUUCAAACCCUUGACCACGGUAUAGUCAGCGACUGGGGUGAAGUCGUAACAAGGUAGCCGUAGGGGAACCUGCGGCUG